CCUACCUUGGCCUCCCAAAGUGCUGGGAUUACAGGCAUGAGCCACUGCACCCAGCCAAAAUUGGUUUGAUUAUACAUCAUUUUGCUUAGUUGCAGUUUCUAAGAAUACCUAUUAAAGACAGUUGGUGAGGACUUACUGUAUAAUGCUGCGGGUUUCUUGGAUAUUGGGCUGUAGUGGAGGUUCUGGGAAAAACCACUUGCCUGAGGGUUUACAAAACAAAGCCAUGGUGGGAGGUAAGAUUUCAAGGGGGUGGGAAGAGAGCUGGAACUGUGGCAUGCCAGGGUUAUCACUGUAUGCCUUGCCCGAGUGCUAAAAUAACUUCACAAUAAACACUUUCAAAGCAUUUACUAUCAGAACAAUACGGACAUAAUGAAGUAGAAAGCAAGUCCGACAGUGUUUUGAGAUGAGACAUGAGACCUUCGGUGUUUCUCUGCCCAGCUCCCCCGGGCAUGCUUGAGUGUCUUCUACCUUUAGGGGAGCCACAGAUGGAGGAGUCUUUGAGGGGACUAAAGGAGAGGAUUCAUCCCUAAAAACUCAGAACUUGUGAAAGGGUCUGGAUAAAGGUAAGGUGGCUUAAUUUGGAUAAAUGUUGGCUUAUCAAAGAGCCUUUAUCCUUUCCCUGUCAGUGUGAUUUAUUCCAGGACAUUCAGGUUUGAAGCAGAAAACGCUUGCCUGAAGUUGGCGUGCUUGAAGAUUGCAGUUUGGGUCCAGUCAAUCUUUACAAGACCCAGGCAACUUUCAUGAACAGCAGAAAAGGACUCGCAGUGAACUUCCUGGGGAUACUCUAAAAGAAAGUGGCAUGGCAGUAUACCAGAACAAGAAGACAGAUGGCUUAAGUGGGACCUCAUGUGUCUGCUGGGUCCACGGAGGCACACAGGGCAAACCUACCUAGUAAGAGGAGCUGCCGAUGGAUCACAAAGUAAAAAUACAUGCUACGCGUGAAAAACACAUUUGCACACAAGGAGGAAAAGACGUUACAAUUGUAAUACUAGAAAAGGCAGAUUUCAAGGCAAAAAGCAUGAGCUGAGAGCACUUUAUGACAGUGAAGGGGGCAGUUUACUCAAUGUUUUGGUCAGACUAACCUGGAAAAAACAAAACUCCAGGGAUCAAAUUUCUUUUGUACAGGUUUUGUUUUUUACUAUUAUUUUUAAAGACAGGGUCUCACUCCCGUCUGGAAAGCAGUGCACCAUCGCUCACUGCAGCCUCAAAUUCCUAGCCUCGGGAUCGUCUAACCUCCCAAAGCAUGUGCCACAUGACUGGCUACUUUUUUUAUUUUUUUUAAAGUAGAGACGGUUUUGUCAUGUUGCCAGGCUGGUCUCGAACUCCUGGGCUCAAAGAAUCCACCAGCCUCAGCCUCCUAAAGUGCUGGGAUUACAGGCAUGUGCCACUGCACCCAGCCUGUUUUUGUCUUUGUAAUUGUUUCUUUAGUCACCAUAAUCUUUUCAGGUUUUCUGUUUCUUGAAUUAAUUUUAAAAAAUCUCCAAAUCUGAAAACUUAGAUGAAUAAACGGCUUUCUGGGAAAAUAAAUAAGAAUUAUCAAAACGAAUCCCCAGGGGACAGAAAAUCCAAGUAGAUAAAAUAACAAAUAGACUGAGGAAGCCAGCAAGGGGCAACAGUCCCUGCAAAGAAGGAACAAGUGACUGGCCAGACCUGUGAGGACCAGCCACCUCCAGGGCUAAGGCAGCUGUUCCACAGCCUAGGAAAGGCAGGAGGUAAAGCUUCCAAAUUCUCCACAAAGCCAGCUUUCUGUUGCCAAAGCCUAACCCUGAGAGCACAAUCAAAGAGAACUACAUAUCUGCAUGAAAUCUCAACAACAGACUCCAAGAAAACUACUUACCCGAAUGCAAUCUCAGUAACAGACUCCACAGCGAGACGCCGCAGAUAAGUAGAAUCUACGAAAAACCGCCGGUCAUGUCCAUGGAUGCCGAAAGCAACGGGAUGAAACAUCACACCGUUCCUGAUGCUGUCUUUAGAAACAGUGGGCCACUUUCACCACCAUUAAUUUACACUGGUUUUUAAAAACCAGGUACAAUUAGACAAAAGGAAAAAAUGAAAGUAUAAAAAUCAGAAAGAAGUGAGUAGACUUCUCAGUGAGAAGGGACAGUCCCAGAGAAUUCAGUAAUACACAGUCAAAUAUAAAUUUAUGUGCCAAAAUCUAGUUUAAAAAAUAGAAUAAAAAAUGACCCCCUUGUAACAGCAGUUAGAGGCAAAAUACUCUGUAAUAAUUUUCUCAACUUGGAGCUCUGCUACUUAUAUUACACAAAAUAAAUUACAGAGGGCACAAAGAGUUACACAUAAUUAUACUAUAAAAAAGAUUCCGAGGAGGGAAGGCCUUUCUAAACAAAACCAAGUCCAUAAGGUGAAAAGAUUGAUAACUACACAUAAAAGGGUUUGACUUUUUCCUAUGAAGGGGAACAAUCAGAAAGUCAAAUGACAAACUGAGGAAAAUGUUUGCCACAAAGAGGCUAAUGUGUUAUAAUAAAUAAAUGCCUUCAAAUAAAUAGUAAAGACUGACAAACCCAUUAUUAAAUUGAGAGAAAAGAAAAAGCAAUUCACAGAAAAAUAUUGAUGGCUUUUAAACAUGUGUAAGAUGUUUAAGUUUACUGGUAAUAAGAGAAAUUACACAGUAAAACUACAAUGCAGUGCCACCUGUCGCCUAUCUACCCAGCAAAAGUAAAGUUUGGUAACAUGCCCUCCAAGGCGCUGUGUGGCAGCAAGACAUGGACAGGUACUCCUAGACAGCUGAGGCGAGCAGAAAUCCUUCUUUAGGGAGUGACUUGGCAAUAUCCAACCAAAUACCCCACGCCCCUCACCAAGCCAGCAAUUCCACUUCUAGGAGGCAGCUCUACAUGUUUCACAGACACAAGGCCAGUCACCAAAGCACUGCUCUUAGUCGCAAAAGAGGCUUCUGUUUCAGACAUGUUGACGCUUCCACUGCAAAACGCUUACUAGUGCUGGAUAAAUAUAACUAACAAACUUUUAAGGGCAUUGCUGAAUUCACAUAGUAAGUGACUUCCCCCGGACCUGAGCUGAAAACCAGAUGGGAGAGGGUGAGCUGCAACUUCAGUUGCCAGCGUGGUGGGGGAGGCUGCUGGCAAGCGCCAGGCUCAGGUCCGUGGGUUCAUCAAACACACUGAAGGGCCACCCAAGGCAGGGAGGGGAGUGUGGAGAUUCCUGCUUUAAAUACAAAAGCAUGAAAGUAUAGUCCCUGAAAUUAAGUUCGGGAGACUGGCUGGAAGCAGAUCAGAGAGUGUGUGAAUUAGAAGAAAAAUCUGAGGAAUGGGGGGUUAAGAGACAUGAGGGACACAGUGGUGGUGCAGCAUGCACCCACAGUCCUGGAAGGAGAAAACAGUGCAGAUAGUUAAGAGCUCAUGUCUUCCCAGAACUAAAGAAAGACAUGCAUGCCGACUCAAUGCACACUAAUCAAUAAAGGAAAAGAAAUACAUACCUAAGAGUGUAACUUAAAAAAUGGGAAAACACAGACAAAGAGGUCUUAAAAACAGCCUGAGAGAAAAAGACAUGACCUAUUAAGGAAAAAUAAUUAUACUGACAGGAAAAACUAGAAACAACACUUAAGCCGUCAUGAAUGGGAAUGACUGGAUGUAGGUGGCAGGAUUACCUAGCUCAUCCACUGAGUGCUGGUUAAAGCAAUCACGGUACAUCCACACAGUGGGACCCGGCGUAGUCAUUAGAGAAUGGGCAGAACCACACAGGCCGACUGGCAGCCGUGUACACAGGCAUGUGCCGGGGGACAUGUUCAGGCUGUGAGUGUGUGGGCGCGCCCUGCAGAACGCGCAGCAUUGAGCAGUCGCAAUCAGGGAGGCUGACGAGGCCUCUUGGGAACAGGGACCCACCUCACCCUCUAUGCUACCUUGCUUUUCAGUCCCAUUAUGAAUGUGCAUACUUCCUGUUUAAAUAAAACCGAACAAUUUUAAAGACAAAGUUCUGGAAGCACAUAACUUGAACAUUAACAGCAAUUACCUUGGAGAAGAAUGAGGGUAAUAAAGGAGGCUUUUGUGUUUUAUUCUGGACACUGCCAUGUUUAAAAAACAAGAAUUCAUCCGUGACGGGGAGGCCUUCAGCGGUACUGGUCUCCCUCUGUUUCCUGAGCUGAGAGGUGGAGGUGUGGGCAUUCUCUGUUGUUCUUGAAACUGUACACAUACCUUCUAGAUGCUCCCAUACAUCUGUUCUGUUUCAUAAUUUAAAAACAAUACUUUCAUCUAUUUCUUAGAUAAGGUGAAAUAAAAUAGGAUGGUAACAGCACAUCGUUUGAGAACACGGAGGAGGGACUGUUUCUUCUUCCUGCUAGGCCAUGUGAGCUGACAAGGCAGCGCAGGAGAACAGAGAGGUCCGUUGCUACAAAUGCUGUUCAGUCCCGGAUCUGCCAGUGAGGGAUCUGGGACCAGAAAGACGCAGAGAGCAUGAAGACUACUCUGAAAACCAAGGCAUCUCUCGGGAGCACUUACAGACACCUCUCCUUAGGCACGUGUAGGUAAGAGAACUCGGGCUGUGUGGGCAGAGAAGAGAGAAGAAUAAAUGCUGGAAAGGGAACUCUGACUUUAGGCCAGAAUGGGAACUUGAAAAGGACUGGGGAAGGGGGAGCGGAAAUGUUUACCAAGUAGUUUUCAGUGCAUAUUUGGUUAAUCAGAGUCUAUUCUGCUAUAGUGAUUUCCAUAAAGAGCCCCUCUGUUGAAUAUUUAUACUCCAUAAUUUACAGUUUGGCUGUUAAGGAGACAAAGGCAAACACAAAUUUGGUCCAGAAGUUCAAAGUUUGCCAUCUGUUUUCCUAUUGUAUUUAGAUACCAGUAUGGAUGGCUCCAAACAAAAUAAACAAAUAAACCAAAAGAUACAGCCUUAGUGUCUUUUACAUCACUAAGGAAAAAAAAAUAGGCCAAACCAGCUUUAAUGUCUCCCCAUAAGAAAAAAGGAAAACCAUUUUUCUGACAUCUCCUUAGAGAAGCACCGCUCUGGCUUCUUGUCAACAGACAGAAACAGCAGACAGCACAGCAUGCCAAGUCCACCCAAGCCAUUCAGAUUCACAUGAAGAAACAGGUACCUGCCUCGGACAUCUGAUAGCACGCAGCACCGGCCCGAACGCCGUGCACCUUGGCAAAGCCCAUCGUCGGCUCAGCCCUUGAACCAAAUACUCGAUGCUGGGAAACAGGUAGCACAGCAAAUGGCACCAAAACAUGCCAAGACAGCCGAUUCCAGGGACAAAGAGGAGCCAACGGUAGAUAUUGUGAAUCCCUAUCUAGUGAGUAUUUCAUCAACUUUGCCCAUUGAAAAGAAAAAUAAUUGGUCUGAAAGCUGUAAUUGUAUUAUGUUUAAUAUUCAUGGUUGGGCUUGGAGGACGGUUCCAACACUCCCUCUCUCCAGCCCCUCUCUAAUGAAAAUCACACCAUAGGAGUCGGCUGUAGCCCACCAAUUAAAACAAAAGACACCAGAACCUUCCAAAGACUCCAACAGAGGAGCAUCCAUCUGAUGGGCAGGAAAACGUGCUGGAAGUGAGAGGGAGGCACGCUCUGGUUGGUCCUGUGUUAAGAGCUUUGAAUAACUUAUUAUAACACUUGCAGAUGGAGCAAAUGCAACAUUUACACCCCAAUCACUCUCUCUCUAACAGCAGGCAGCAGUGGCACGAGCACAGCACACAACUUUAUACUUGUCAGGGCAAGAAGCAAGCGCUGAGACUCUGUAAUUGGGGGGUCACAACUCAGGGCGCGCUUCCUAUUGGCUUGGAUUAAAUACUCCCAUAUGAUAAUGAGGCACACUGUAUCUGACGGCAAGCUGAAGCCUAUUCAGUGUCUGGCUCGGCAGUUUCAUUAAGGAGGACCUGACCUUCAGCUAUAUUUCUAUCCAGAAAAUAAAGGGAACAAGCAAUAAGGUGUUACAAUGGAGGCUUUUUUUUUUUUUGAACGAAUUAAUUUUUAAAAUAGUAUUUUUUUAAAAAAUAAAUCAAUACAUGAUUCUGUUUGGUCUCACUGAACCUUGGGCUAUUAAAGAGGAUUUUAAAUAUAACCUUAUAUGCCAAAAUCAAUAGCUUUAUCUACAAAGCACUGACGAUGGCCUUCGGUGAAAGAUUCAUUUUAAACAGCAACUAGAAAAACACGUAUUUUCAGGUAGAAGUGGAAAUACAUGUUUUGCUAGUUGCUGUUCAAUCCAACUAGGCUAGUUUAAUCCAACUAGGCUAGGCUUAGUGCUUUCUGUAUUUUAAGUCUGUACCUCUGAAGUUUAGAGUUCUCUGUAAGUAGAACAUAAAAUUCUAUAUGGCCAAGAGUAACAAGCCCUUCAGACUGGUCACUGAACCUUUCUGGUCCAGCAUUAGAUGGUCUUGAAGAGAUCUGCUAGACCCAACAUUCUGAGAUCCAUAACAAGUCCACCCAGUGAACAAAGAUGAUAACGUGUAUACGGCCAAAAAAGGGGCACUGGAUCCCAAGUUGGAAAUACUAAAACUUCUAGUUAUUAACUAAGUCAUAUGAAUAUGUCCUAUAUCCAUAUUGCUACUUUCAUAGACAGUGAUGCUGUUGGACAUGCCUGACAUUUGGAAGUUUACUGUAUAUUACUUAUUUUAAAAAAGGUGAGGUAUUGUAAUCAAAAAGCUGUAGGUAAUCCAGGCAGUGUGGCAGUGCCAGAACACAGACAUACAGAUCAAUGGAAUAGAACUGAGAGUCCAGAAUAAACCCUCAAAGUUACAGCCCACUGAUUUUCAACAGUGGUGCCAAGACAACUGAAUGGGGCGAGAAUUGUCUUUUCAACAGAUGGUGCCAGGAUAGCUGAAUAUUCACAUGCAAAAGAAUGAAGUUUAGGUCUCUACCUCACACCAUAUAUAAAAAUUAACUCCAAAUGGAUCACAGACGUCAGCGUAAGAGCCAAAACUAUAAAACCCUCUGAAGAAAACUUAGGAGUUAAUCUUCAUGAGCCUGGGUUAAGAAAUGGUUCCUUAGCUAUGACAUCAACAGCACAAAUGACAAAAGGAAAAAAUAGAUAAAUGGAAUGUCAUCAAAAUUGAAAACUUGUGUGCUUCAAAGAAUACGAUCUAGAAAGUGAAAAGACAACCCACAGAAUGGGAGAAAAUAUUUUGCAAAUCACAUAUCUGAUGAGAGAUUUGUACAUGGGCUAUAUAAACAACUCUAAUAAGCACGUGAAAAGAUAUUCACCACCACUGGCCGUCAGAGAAAUGCAAAUCUAGAAUUCAAGACAGUAGCAAGGGUUGGUGACAAGGUAGAGAAACUGGAACCCUCAAUCCAGGGCUGGUGGGAAUGUAAAAUGGUACAGCCACUAUAGAAGAGUCUGGCAAUUCCUCAAAUGGUUCAACACAGAAUUACCACAAAAGCCAGCAAUUCUACUCCCAGUGUAUUUCCCCAGUGGAACUGAAAAUAUGCAUCCACAUACAAACGUACACAUAAAUGAUAACAGUAACAUUAUCAUAGUCAAAAAGUGGAAGCAACCCAAAUGUCCAUUAACUGAUGAAUGGAUAAAGAAAACGCAGUAUAUCUGUACAAGGGAAUAUUACUUGGCCAGAAAAAGGAAUGACCUACUGAUAUAUUCUACAAAUUGGGUUUAUCUUAAAAACAUGCUAAGUGGAAUAAGCCAGUCCUAGAAGGUCACAAGGUACAUCAUUCUAUUUAUAGGAGAUGCUCAGGCAAAUGCUUAGAGAAAUAAAGUAGAUUAGUGGUUGCUUAAAGCUGGAGGGAUGAGGAAAAUGGGGAGUGCCGUUAAUGGGUAUGGGGUUUCUAUUUGGGGUGAUGAAAAUGUUCUAAAAUGGACUGUAGUGGUGACUGCACAACCUCGUGGACCUACUAAAAACACGAAAUUGUACGAUUUAAAUUGGUGAAUUAUGUGGCAUGUAAAUUAAAUCUCAUUAUAGCUCCUAAAAAAUAAACUUGAGACUAUGGGGGAAAACACUGGAAUUUGCUGGCUCAAUGACUGUUGCCUUAGCAACCCAAUUACAGCCUGGCAUUUGCCCUUAGCACCAACUCUUGGUUCUCCACAGCAUGGAUUAGCUUCUCCCUGCUAGAUCCCCAGUUUCACUGGCGAAAAUGAGCAGAUCACAGAUGAGAAGGCUGAGAGCUACAGAAUGGGAAGGGCCCUCAUUUAAUACAGCCCUCAACCACCGGCUACAGUGCUGACUUAAGUCACUGAAAAGAAAGGAGGGCGUUCUGAUUCUGGCCAGGUUGGAAUAAGCCCACUACUGCCUCUCUCCUGCUGACUGCCAGCAAAACUUAUGGACAAAACACAAAUACAAACGCCUGAGGACUCUGGAGAGUCAACCCAAGCUGAUGGAUUGCAGAGGAGAGUCAAACCUAUGGAAGUGGCCAUAUGGGGAGGAGUUUCCCAUUUUUUCCCUUUUCCUCUUGCAGCCUUGCCCUGAGUAUGGGCUACAAUAUGCAGCACUGUGAGGUGGUACAGGACGCCAAAACUCCAAUAGAAACUCCAGCCUUCUGACCAGAGGAACAGAGGGGGGCCCUGCAGUCCCCAAAGAAUAGGGAUGAGGGUUGUUGUGGGUUUUUUCCUCUUUCUUGUGGCUGUGUCCCAAGGACAGUUCCUAGUCACAUGCUGCAUGGUGGCAGCAAUGCAGGUAGGUAGAACUCUGACAGAAACCCCAUCUUUCUGACCAGAGAACUAUAAGGUAAAGGAGUCCCUGAAGGCUGGAAAGUGUAAGGAUUAAGAGAGGAGGAACCUAGAAAAAGUGAUUUCAUAGUACUGUGUCUAAACCCACAUAAAUCCCAGGCUCAUCCCUGGGCUAUGUGGGACAGAUUCAAAGCAGGACAGCAAAGGCUUUAAGAGCUCAACUAAGACUGAACCACUGCCAAGCCUCAGAAUACCCCAAGUGGCAUAUGCACAGACCAAAAACAGAAAAGAAAUUAAACAGCUUUGGAAAGCAAACUGACAUUGGAGUCACCACCUACAGAGGGCAAAACAGAACUUGCCGUCUGAACCUAAUCAGGGUGACUGCCUGUUUAAAAGCAAGACAAAACAAAAAUCAUUCUUUGAAGGAUUACAUAACAGGAUCCAGAGGGUAUCUAACACAACAUCCACAAUGUCCAGAAUACAAUUCAAAAUUACUUGACAUAUCCCAAACCAAAACCCAAACAGGAAAAGGGAAAAAGACAAUUAACAGAUGUCAACACUAAGAUUAAUCAGUUUGGGAAUCCUCAAUGACUUUAAAGAACCUGUGUAGCUAUAUUCCACAAGGUAAAGGUAAAAUGCACAGGAACAGUAACAGCAACAACCUCAGCAGAGACACAGAAACUAUACAUAUAAAAUGAAUGGAAAUUUUUAACUAAGAAAAUACGAAAUCUGAAAUAAAAAAAUCAUUGGAUAGGCUCAACAGCAGAAUGGAGAUGACACGGGAAAGAGUCCGUAAACCUGAAGUUAGAUCAACAGAGAUGAUGCAAAGAUUUGUGAAUGAACAUGAACAGAGCUUUGGUGACCUACUGGAAAUUUUCAUAAGGCUUAACAUUUACAUGAUUGAGGUUAUCAGAAAGGGAGGAGAAAGAUUAUUAGUUCAGAAAAACUAUGUAAGAAAAUAAUGGCAUGAAACUUACCAAAUUUAGUGAAAGACAUACAUAUACAGAUUCUAAAUGUUUAAUAAACCCCAGACAGGGUUUAAA
Sapajus apella (tufted capuchin) is the source of this 9611-nucleotide long non-coding RNA. RefSeq lists it as uncharacterized. The transcript is spliced from 2 exons. The record is from RefSeq and is a predicted model, not a curated record. Lineage: Eukaryota; Metazoa; Chordata; Mammalia; Primates; Cebidae.